AACGAACGCUGGCGGCAUGCCUAGCACAUGCAAGUCGAACGGGAUCCUGGCUUCGGUCAGGUGAGAGUGGCGGACGGGUGAGUAACACGUGGGAACCUGCCCAUUGGUCUGGGAUAACCGCGGGAAACUGCGGCUAAUACCGGAUGUACCCGUGAGGGGAAAGAUUUAUCGCCGAUGGAGGGGCCCGCGUCCGAUUAGGUAGUUGGUGGGGUAAAGGCCUACCAAGCCGACGAUCGGUAGCUGGUCUGAGAGGAUGAUCAGCCACACUGGGACUGAGAUACGGCCCAGACUCCUACGGGAGGCAGCAGUGGGGAAUAUUGGACAAUGGGGGCAACCCUGAUCCAGCAAUGCCGCGUGAGUGAUGAAGGCCUUAGGGUUGUAAAGCUCUUUUGCCAGGGAAGAUGAUGACGGCACCUGGAGAAUAAGCCCCGGCUAACUUCGUGCCAGCAGCCGCGGUAAUACGAAGGGGCUAGCGUUGUUCGGAAUUACUGGGCGUAAAGGGCGCGUAGGCGGCCAUUUAAGUUAGGUGUGAAAGUCCUGGGCUCAACCUGGGGACUGCACUUAAUACUGGGUGGCUUGAAUUCGGGAGAGGAUAGCGGAAUUCCCCAGUGUAGAGGUGAAAUUCGUAGAUAUUGGGAAGAACACCGGUGGCGAAGGCGGCUAUCUGGACCGACAUUUGACGCUGAGGCGCGAAAGCGUGGGGA
RNAcentral lists this ribosomal RNA (704 nucleotides) under uncultured bacterium. RNAcentral's name for it is "bacterial SSU rRNA". It matches the Rfam family "Bacterial small subunit ribosomal RNA", at positions 28 to 767 of the family's 1533-position model. The record is from RNAcentral.